GACGUAGGGCGCGAGCGUUGUCCGGAUUUAUUGGGCGUAAAGAGCUCGUAGGCGGUCUGUCGCGUCUGCUGUGAAAACUCAGGGCUUAACCCUGAGCUUGCAGUGGGUACGGGCAGACUAGAGUGCGGUAGGGGAGACUGGAAUUCCUGGUGUAGCGGUGAAAUGCGCAGAUAUCAGGAGGAACACCGGUGGCGAAGGCGACUUACUGGACACAUAUUGACGCUGAGGUGCGAAAGCGUGGGGAGCAAACAGG
RNAcentral lists this ribosomal RNA (253 nucleotides) under uncultured bacterium. RNAcentral's name for it is "partial 16S ribosomal RNA". It matches the Rfam family "Bacterial small subunit ribosomal RNA", at positions 524 to 776 of the family's 1533-position model. The record is from RNAcentral.